Long non-coding RNA from Eurytemora carolleeae, 794 nucleotides. RefSeq lists it as uncharacterized. The record is from RefSeq and is a predicted model, not a curated record. The transcript has 2 exons. NCBI's taxonomy places the organism in Eukaryota, Metazoa, Arthropoda, Copepoda, Calanoida, Temoridae.
GACAAAAUUCAUAAUGAGGGAUAAUUUCCAUUCUUUUCUAAUCUAAUCUCUGUUCUGUUAUAAUUUGGUAACUAACUAUUUGGUUUCCAAAUUCUCAGGCUAUACCAAAAAAUGUAAGGUUGUCAUAUUAUUUGUAAGAUUACCAAAUUAUUAGUUACUACAAAUCCACCUAUAAUACAGUGACAAUCAGAAAACUCUGGAAUAAGAAGACGACUUUUAAAGGCAAGUUGUGACUUUAAAUAGUUCAAUGAACACGAGACACAUCAAUUGUGCAGUGUCACCAGAUCCAAUCCAAGUGAGUUAAUAAGUCUCUAGUAAAACUAUUUGCUUUGUAACUACAUGAAAUGCACUUCAGUUUCGUAGUAAAGUCGUUUUCCUAUUUCACAGUUCUCACUGUAGUAUUUAAUCUCCAUCUUGGAAAUUGGCAUAAUAAACCCCAAAAUGUAGGUGUAAUACAAUGUAAUAAAAAUACACAUUUCGAAAAUAAAAUAUUAGUAGCACUUGAUUGUUGAAGAAUGAAAGGGCCAACCUAUUAGUCCCAGACUGUGUCAACCUUGUUGCACCAGCUAGUCUGCUUUAUUUACCCAACGUCAGGGCGGUACAGUACAAAUCGAACCAUAGGGUUGACCCGGCUCGUAAAUUCUAAUGUACUACGGCUGCCCACAAGAAGGAAAGAAAUUGACAGAUAAUUUUUUCCCUCAGUGGUCAGUGGAAAAUGUAUCUCAAGUGGACUUCUAUUCUCUGAGCGGACUUGUUAAACUAAAUAAAUAAAAAUAAAAUUUAUUUUGUCUAAA